UACGGAGGGUGCAAGCGUUAUCCGGAUUUACUGGGUUUAAAGGGUGCGCAGGCGGAUAUGUAAGUCAGUGGUGAAAUCUCCGGGCUUAACCCGGAACUGCCGUUGAUACUAUAUAUCUUGAAUGCUGUGGAGGUAAGCAGGAUAUGUCAUGUAGCGGUGAAAUGCUUAGAGAUGACAUAGAAUACCUAUUGCGAAGGCAGCUUACUACGCAGAUAUUGACGCUCAUGCACGAAAGCGUGGGAUCAAACAGG
RNAcentral lists this ribosomal RNA (251 nucleotides) under uncultured bacterium. RNAcentral describes it as "partial 16S ribosomal RNA". It matches the Rfam family "Bacterial small subunit ribosomal RNA", at positions 524 to 776 of the family's 1533-position model. The record is from RNAcentral.